RNAcentral lists this ribosomal RNA (213 nucleotides) under uncultured bacterium. Its description in RNAcentral is "partial 16S ribosomal RNA". It matches the Rfam family "Bacterial small subunit ribosomal RNA", at positions 568 to 774 of the family's 1533-position model. The record is from RNAcentral.
CGCGUAGGCGGGCCGGAGCAAAGUUCUGACGUGAAAUGCACCGGUUCAACCGGGGCGCUGUGUCGGAAACUGCCUGGCUUGAGGUCGAGGGAGGAAGGUGGAAUUCCUGGUGUAGCGGUGAAAUGCGUAGAUAUCAGGAGGAACACCCGGUGGCGAAGGCGACCUUCUAUCUCGAUUCUGACGCUGGAGGCGCGAAAGCUAGGGGAGCAAACG